This 301-nucleotide ribosomal RNA is filed under the name uncultured bacterium. Its description in RNAcentral is "partial 16S ribosomal RNA". It matches the Rfam family "Bacterial small subunit ribosomal RNA", at positions 509 to 808 of the family's 1533-position model. The record is from RNAcentral.
CAGUCGCCACGGGAAUACAGAGGGUGCGAGCGUUAAUCGGAUUUACUGGGCGUAAAGCGUGCGUAGGCGGCUUCUUAAGUCGGAUGUGAAAUCCCUGAGCUUAACUUAGGAAUUGCAUUCGAUACUGGGAAGCUAGAGUAUGGGAGAGGAUGGUAGAAUUCCAGGUGUAGCGGUGAAAUGCGUAGAGAUCUGGAGGAAUACCGAUGGCGAAGGCAGCCAUCUGGCCUAAUACUGACGCUGAGGUACGAAAGCAUGGGGAGCAAACAGGAUUAGAUACCCCAGUAGUCCCUGUCUCUUAACA